RNAcentral lists this ribosomal RNA (254 nucleotides) under uncultured soil bacterium. Its description in RNAcentral is "partial 16S ribosomal RNA". It matches the Rfam family "Bacterial small subunit ribosomal RNA", at positions 26 to 286 of the family's 1533-position model. The record is from RNAcentral.
AGGACGAACGCUGGCGGCGUGCUUAACACAUGCAAGUCGAGCGGAAAGGCCCUUCGGGGUACUCGAGCGGCGAACGGGUGAGUAACACGUGAGUAACCUGCCCUGGACUUUGGGAUAACCCUCGGAAACGGGGGCUAAUACCGGAUAUUACCUUCUCCUGCAUGGGGGUUGGUGGAAAGUUUUUCGGUCUGGGAUGGGCUCGCGGCCUAUCAGCUUGUUGGUGGGUGAUGGCCUACCAAGGCGACGACGGGUAG